GAGGAGGAAGAGGAGGAGGUGGGACGAUUGUCAGCGCUGCGGUCUCCACUGCAGCAAAUCAGGUGGCAUUGCAUCGAUGGAAACCACCAGGGAGGCAGACGGAGCCACGGCCGGAGAGCGAGCGGCAGGUGGCACCGAAUAUUAAACUAACACUUCCUCCUGCUCCGCGACAGGCUCGGGAUUAGCGCUGCCCACAGAGCCGGCCCACUGAAACUCGCAGGCACAUUCAUUCCUGCUGAUGCCAAGGCAGCUGCGGCUCCGAAGGAGACCUGGUGUCUGUGACUCAACUAUCCCCGACUGUCUCUACCCUCCCUCGACUGUGGCUGUAAAACCGUUUCGACCAAGAAAUGGAGAGGAGGGGUGCGGAGGCGGGGCAGGGAGGAUGGGAUUCGUCCAUACGCCCCCCCCAUGUCUCGCACUGGGGUUGGGGUGGAGCUUCCGUCCAGGUUGGCUCUACGCGAGGGCCUUCUCCCCUCAGCCGGAGGCCCGAGGAUCCCGGAAUUUCCAUCCCGAGGCCGAGCUCAGGGAAAGACAUCUCCAUCCACACAUCUCAGGGCCAGCCGGAAACGCUUUCGCUUAUCCCUCGUGCCCACGGGACCCCCAGCUAACCUCCGGCCGGGGCCGGCGACGGACCUUCGGCCACCGCCCCUCUCUAGGGUGGCCCCCUGACACGUGAAGCUGCACGUGACACCGGGCACGCAAAAUGAACACGGAACGCUCUGCGGAAGUCCGUCCGUGGCCGCCGAACCCACGUGGGGAACGUUACGACGGUCACGACGAACGACGCGGCGCCCUACGAAUGGUUUUAAACUUACAAUUAGAGGAGCUCGAGACCGCCA
This is a long non-coding RNA of Ornithorhynchus anatinus (platypus), 839 nucleotides long. RefSeq lists it as uncharacterized. NCBI's taxonomy places the organism in Eukaryota, Metazoa, Chordata, Mammalia, Monotremata, Ornithorhynchidae. The record is from RefSeq and is a predicted model, not a curated record. The transcript has 3 exons.